UUGCGUAGUAGCCCAGCCAGGGGAGAAGAAGGGCAGAGGUCACGCAGGGAGGUGGAGGCGCCAUGGGAGGGGGCGAGCAGAGCUGCUGCUCAGCCAUGGGAGAGAGGGGGCGCUGGGGAAGCUGCUGCUCCCUGCGCUGAAUCAGAUCGGAGGGAAGCUCGGCGUGUGCUGCUGGAGAUGGUCGGCUGGAGCAAAGGGACCUGCGCCCAUGGAGCAGGGAGGGGCGCCGAGGGAGGAAUCCUCCCACGGCAACAGCAGCCAGCGCAGGAGCUCCAAGGGUCGCCAGCAGGGGCUCCAUGGCCGCCGUGCUCCCUUCCAUGGCCGGGCGUCCCUUCCUCCGGCGCACCGAAGCACCUCCCUGCGCUCAGCCUCUCUGACUCGGCGUCCUUGCAGCAGGCGAGCUCAGCCCCUCCCCUUCCUCCCCUCGGCCAGCCAUGGCGGGACGCCCUGCUUCCCAUGGCGCUCAUGCCCCCUGUCCUAGGCGCUCGCCUCCUCCAUGUUGGAUGGCCGGUCUGGGUGGUCGCUGCUGCCAUGAGAGCCAUGUCGGCUCCCUGUUCUCCAUGCCGCUGGGCUGCAGGAAGCCGCGUCCUUCUUCUCUACGCAGGGCGCCCGACCUCCCUGCGUCUCCCUCCUCGCUCCCCUCCCCAUGGCCACCUCCCUCUGCUCCUCCCAUUUUCCAUAGGAGCCGAGCUCCUUCUACCUGCAGCAGGCGCCCCCUGCUCUUCCCUGUCCGCGACCAGGGAGUUUCAGCUGGCGUGA
Molecule: unclassified non-coding RNA, 759 nt
Filed under: Zea mays
Lineage: Eukaryota; Viridiplantae; Streptophyta; Magnoliopsida; Poales; Poaceae
Description: misc RNA Zm00001eb224080
Source: RNAcentral